Molecule: long non-coding RNA, 559 nt
Filed under: Homo sapiens (human)
Lineage: Eukaryota; Metazoa; Chordata; Mammalia; Primates; Hominidae
Description: non-protein coding LINC-PINT:62
Source: RNAcentral
GUAGGCAUCUUGUGGUUAAUGGAGACAGAUGGUCUUCCCUUGAUAGAUGCUUCUGGAAAGUUAACAUUCCAGCAGUGACGGUUACAUUCCUGUCAGGCAGGACUUCAGGAAGAGAGGAACUCCGCACCGUUUGAUCAGGAUUCCCAGGUGUGACUUUGCAGGCAUUUUAUUAAUGCUUUUACGAGUUAGAAGAGUUGGGAUAAUUUGCCAUCUGGAGUUUCUCUGCCUUGCUGAUCUGAGCUCAGACCUGCCAAUUUACCAGAGAUAAUUGAUAACACCCUGUAACAGCUGAGAGGAAAAUGGAAGAAACGGAGAUACUUUUAGUGAAGCAGAAUAAACCACUGAACAGGAAAAAUGAGGAAGCUGUGAGUACCAGUGGAAGGAACGAGCCAGGAAGAGGGACUGGAACCAUCUCAGAAGCCAUGCCCCUCAGGCUGGAACUUGCCCUGUCUCCUCGCAGAUGAGCUACCUCUUGUGUUUAAGAAUUAAAGGAAGAUGAGCUAGGAAUCAAGAAAUACGCAGAACUGAUUCCUGUCACUGGCGCCACCCUGCCACUUGC